Long non-coding RNA from Saccostrea cuccullata (small rock oyster), 589 nucleotides. RefSeq lists it as uncharacterized. Lineage: Eukaryota; Metazoa; Mollusca; Bivalvia; Ostreida; Ostreidae. The transcript has 3 exons. The record is from RefSeq and is a predicted model, not a curated record.
AGAUGGCUGUCAAGUCGAUUCUUUCAUCAACUUAAUAACAAGUGUUUGUUUUUAUGGCCUAUAGAUGCAUGCAGUAACUUGAGUUCAGUGUCACAGUGCUGCGUCUAAAAAGCCCAAAGCUGAUACGACUGGCGAUUGAUCCUAAAGCUGAUUUGACAGAUGAUUGCAUCAUCACAAUAUUAAAGGUUCAAUAUACAGUCAGCAUCUCAUAAGAAUAAAUCCCAAGAUCCAAGACUUGCUUAAAAGCUUAAUUAAGAGACCAUUCUGUGCCACAAAGAAAUUGUUCAGGAAAGGGAGAAAUGGUGAAUUUGCAUUUUGGGUACAGUUCAAAGAGAGUUCAAAAUGGUCAAGCUCAUGGAAGAUCAGAAGGAGGACAACUGAAGAAAACUGAAAGAUACAGAAGGAAAAAGAACAAGAAAAUAUAUGAAAUAAUUAUGGAAUUGGAAGGAUGUACACAAUCUUGUCUGCAUUUGACCUGUAAAGAUUUAAUUCCCAUUCUUAUUUGUAUCCUGUAAUAUCAAAUAACUUGAUUUUUCAUAAAUUUACAAUAGAGAAUACAUGACAAAUGUUAUAUGUGAUAUUUCAAUUU